UACGUAGGGUGCGAGCGUUAAGCGGAAUUACUGGGCGUAAAGCGUGCGCAGGCGGUCUCGUAAGCUGGGUGUGAAAGCCCCGGGCUUAACCUGGGAACGGCAUUCAGGACUGCGAGGCUCGAGUGUGGCAGAGGGAGGUGGAAUUCCACGUGUAGCAGUGAAAUGCGUAGAGAUGUGGAGGAACACCGAUGGCGAAGGCAGCCUCCUGGGCCAGCACUGACGCUCAUGCACGAAAGCGUGGGGAGCAAACAGG
This 253-nucleotide ribosomal RNA is filed under the name uncultured bacterium. RNAcentral's name for it is "partial 16S ribosomal RNA". It matches the Rfam family "Bacterial small subunit ribosomal RNA", at positions 524 to 776 of the family's 1533-position model. The record is from RNAcentral.